GGCAGAACAAAUUUUCCGUGUAGCUGCCAUCGAUUAUUGUUGAUAAAAGUUCUGGUUCACUCGAACCAAAUUAAAUCGUGUUAGUUAUUUUUUAUCAAUUUGUUUUUCGUUUCUUGUACCGCUAGAAAAGCCGGAGUUUGUUCCGGUUUGCGUGAAAAUAGCGAUUGCAGUUCAACGUAUUCUAUUUACUUCAUACUCAUUGUAGCUAUCGGAAAUGAAAUUGGUCGAUUUCGUAUUCUUCGUGGAUGCGGCUUCCGAAUACCCAGCUGAAAGAC
Long non-coding RNA from Armigeres subalbatus, 275 nucleotides. RefSeq lists it as uncharacterized. Lineage: Eukaryota; Metazoa; Arthropoda; Insecta; Diptera; Culicidae. The transcript is spliced from 3 exons. The record is from RefSeq and is a predicted model, not a curated record.